UCCCUGGUAGCUCAGACGGUAAAGCAUCUGCCUACAAUGUAGGAGACCCAGGUUUGAUCCCUGGGUCGGGAA
Molecule: transfer RNA, 72 nt
Filed under: Bos taurus (domestic cattle)
Lineage: Eukaryota; Metazoa; Chordata; Mammalia; Artiodactyla; Bovidae
Also listed under: 3 other names
Rfam family: tRNA
About the family: Transfer RNA (tRNA) molecules are approximately 80 nucleotides in length. Their secondary structure includes four short double-helical elements and three loops (D, anti-codon, and T loops).
Source: Rfam by way of RNAcentral